Long non-coding RNA from Gordionus sp. m RMFG-2023, 424 nucleotides. RefSeq lists it as uncharacterized. NCBI's taxonomy places the organism in Eukaryota, Metazoa, Nematomorpha, Gordioida, Chordodea, Parachordodidae. The transcript is spliced from 3 exons. The record is from RefSeq and is a predicted model, not a curated record.
AAAGAAAAAAAAAGAAAGUCGAUUUAGGAGAUUUUCAAAAGGUGAAAUUUAAAGUUGGCAAAAAAUUGAACAAAGGUAUUGAAACUAAACCUUCAAUACAAUCUAGGAAGAUAAUUAUAAGGGCUCAAUAUAAGAAUACAGACAUUAAUAAUCUAAUAAUGGGACUAUAUCAUAAAGAUCCUAUUAUACAUUAUAAAUCAUUGAGUCAGAUUAAACAUAUGGUGAAGAAUAAAACUCUUAAUCUUGACAGAACUAAUGAAAUAAUUGCUGGAUUAACCAAAGCCAUAAUUCAUGAUGACCUCAAUGUUUUAAACAAAAACAGAGAGGUAUUGCAACUCAUAUAUGUAAAUUCUGAUAUGAGAUUAAAGGAAAUUUUAUUAGAUGAAUGUAAUAUUAAUACUACAAUCUUGCAUUUGGUUAAUGC